UAAGUUACUCAACAGUAUAGAGUGGAUGCCUAGACACCAAAUUUCGAAGAAGGACGUAGCUAGCAGCGAUAUGCUUCGGAGAGCCGCUAAGCAGGCUUUGACCCGAAGAUUUCCGAAUGGGGUAACCCCUCUGGAGUCAUGUCCAGAGAACCUAAUUUAUUAGGUGGAUCACCUGGGGAACUGAAACAUCUUAGUACCCAGGGAAAAGAAAUCAUAUGAGAUUCCCUUAGUAGUGGCGAGCGAAAAGGGAAUAGCCCAAACCGCGGGUUUCGACCUGUGGGGUUGUAGGACUCCAAUAUCCUCUCUUGCCUUGUUAGCCGAAGGAGCCUGGAAAGGCCAGCCACAGCGUGUAACAGCCACGUAGGCGAAAACAAGUAAGAGAAGUAGGAAGUUCCUGAGUAGGGUCGGACACGUGUAAUCCGGCCUGAAUCUGCGAGGACCACCUUGCAAGGCUAAAUAGAUUUGGUGAUCGAUAGCGAACUAGUACCGUGAGGGAAAGGUGAAAAGUAUCCCUGUUAGGGAGUUGAAAUAGUACCUGAAACUCUAUACUUACAAGGAGUCGGAGCCCUUCGGGGUGACGGCGUACUUUUUGUAGAACGGGCCAACGAGUUAGCUGUAUGGCGCUUGAUUAAGGGAGUAAUACCCGUAGUCGUAGUGAAAGCGAGGAUGAAUAAUCCGCCUUUGUGUCAUGCACUAAACCCGAAACCGAGUGAGCCACCCAUGGCCAGGCUGAAUCUAUCGUAACAGAUGGAGAAGGGCCGAACCCACCGUUAUUGCAAAAGCGGGGGAUGAGCUGUGGGUAGUGGAGAAAUUCCUAUCGAACUCGGAAAUAGCUGGUUCUCCUCGAAAUAGCUUUAGGGCUAGCCUUGUGCUAAUAGCGCGGGGGGUAGAGCUCUGUUUAGGCUAGGGGACGAAAUAAGUCUGCCAAACCUAGAUAAACUUCGAAUACCCGUGUGAAUUCCACAGGAGUCAGACAGUGACAGCUAAGUGCCAUUGUCAAAAGGGAAACAGCCCAGACUAUCAUCUAAGGUCCCUAAUAAAGUUUAAGUGGUAAAGGAUGUAAGAUUGCGUAUACAACCAGGAUGUUGGCUUAGAAGCAGCCAUCCAUUUAAAGAGUGCGUAAUAGCUCACUGGUCUAUGUGGUUUUGCGCCGAAAAUACAACGGGGCUUAAAGCUUUAACCGAAGAUAUAGAUGGCAUACCUAUGGUAUGUCGUGGUAGAGGAGCGUUCCUGUCAGCUGUGAAGUUGGAUUGUAAAGUCCAGUGGAGCGGCAGGAAGUGAAAAUGUUGGCAUGAGUAACGUAAGACCGAUGAAAAAUCGGUCCACCGUAAGUCCAAGGUUUCCCAAGCAACGUUAAUCGACUUGGGGUUAGUCGGUCCUAAGGCGAGGCUGAAGAGCGUAGUCGAUGGACAACAGGUUAAUAUUCCUGUACAACUUAUAUUUCGCCAGAGCAAUGUCGGAGCAAUAUAUUUCCCAUUUUUUGGGGACUUCGGUCUUUGAAAUUUGUGUUUUAUAGCGUGAAGACGGCGCUAGCUCAGGGGUAACUUGAUUGGAGGAUUGGGGCGUGUUAAUGAAUUCACGUACAAGCUGCAAGCUUAUGCUUUAAUUAGAAAAUCUGUUAGAGUUCGCGAACAGUUAUGUAAAAUGCUCGGGCUUGUCCUGGGUGAUUCCAAGUAUUCAAUCAACAAGAAAAACCUCGGUAGCGAGAAAUAUGGGUUACCGUACCGCAAACCAACGCUGGUGGACGGGUAGAGUAUACUAAGGUGAUCGAGUAAACCACGUUUAAGGAACUCGGCAAAAAAGCAGGAGUAACUUCGGGAUAAUCCUUGCCAACAAAUUUAUUUUCGAAUUUGUUUGUUGGCCGCAGCAAAAGUGUCCAUGCAACUGUUUAUCAAAAACACAGGUCUCUGCAAACUCGCAAGAGUAUGUAUAGGGGCUGACGCCUGCCCAGUGCCAGAAGGUUACGAGGAGAGGUUCACGCUUUGAAUCUAAGCCCUGGUGAACGGCGGCCGUAACUAUAACGGUCCUAAGGUAGCGAAAUUCCUUGUCAGGUAAGUUCUGACCCGCACGAAUGGCGUAAUGAUAUGGAAACUGUCUCAAACGUGGUCUCGGUGAAAUUGCAAAAACGGUAAAAAUGCCGUUUAAUUAUGGAAAGACGAAAAGACCCUGUGCAGCUUUACUAUAGCUUGACACUGGGUCGAGAUAUAUCUUGUGCAGGAUAGGUGGGAGACUAUGAGGCUGUCGCGUCAGCGGCAGAGGAGUCACCCUUGAGAUACCACCCUUGAUAUAUUUUGACUCUAACUUAGACUUGUUAAUCCAAGAUAAGGACACUGUUUGGUGGGUAGUUUAUCUGGGGCGGAUGCCUCCUAAAGAGUAACGGAGGCGCGCAAUGGUUCUCUAGCGCUGGAUGGAAAUCAGCGUGAUAGUGUAUUCGCAGAAGAGAGCUUAACUGCAAGACCUACAAGUCGAGCAGGUGCGAAAGCAGGUGAAAGUGAUCCGAUAGUGGCAUGUGGGUGCGCUAUCGCUCAACGGAUAAAAGUUACGCCGGGGAUAACAGGCUUAUAGAUUCCAAGAGUCCACAUCGACGAAUCUGUUUGGCACCUCGAUGUCGGCUCGUCGCAUCCUGGGGCUGGAGAAGGUCCCAAGGGUAUGGCUGUUCGCCAUUUAAAGCGGUACGCGAGCUGGGUUCAGAACGUCGUGAGACAGUUCGGUCUCUAUCUUCCAUAAUCGUUGGAAAUUUGAAGGAUGCUGCCCCUAGUACGAGAGGACCGGGGUGGACGAACCUCUGGUGUAUCUGUUGUCGUGUCUAACGGCAUUGCAGAGUAGCUAUGUUCGGCGUGGAUAACCGCUGAAAGCAUCUAAGUGGGAAGCCACUCCUAAGAUUAGAUUUCCCCAUGAGCCUCCAGGAAGACUACCUGGUUGAUAGGUUGCAGGUGUAAGUACAGUGAUGUACUUAGCCGAGCAAUACUAAUAGGCCAUUGAACUUAUU
RNAcentral lists this ribosomal RNA (2989 nucleotides) under bacterium. RNAcentral describes it as "23S ribosomal RNA". It matches the Rfam family "Bacterial large subunit ribosomal RNA". The record is from RNAcentral.